CAGUCGCCACGGUAAUACAGAGGGUGCGAGCGUUAAUCGGAUUUACUGGGCGUAAAGCGUGCGUAGGCGGCUUUUUAAGUCGGAUGUGAAAUCCCUGAGCUUAACUUAGGAAUUGCAUUCGAUACUGGGAAGCUAGAGUAUGGGAGAGGAUGGUAGAAUUCCAGGUGUAGCGGUGAAAUGCGUAGAGAUCUGGAGGAAUACCGAUGGCGAAGGCAGCCAUCUGGCCUAAUACUGACGCUGAGGUACGAAAGCAUGGGGAGCAAACAGGAUUAGAUACCCGUGUAGUCCCUGUCUCUUAUAU
This 301-nucleotide ribosomal RNA is filed under the name uncultured bacterium. RNAcentral's name for it is "partial 16S ribosomal RNA". It matches the Rfam family "Bacterial small subunit ribosomal RNA", at positions 509 to 809 of the family's 1533-position model. The record is from RNAcentral.